Molecule: long non-coding RNA, 894 nt
Organism: Cimex lectularius (bed bug)
Lineage: Eukaryota; Metazoa; Arthropoda; Insecta; Hemiptera; Cimicidae
Exons: 2
Source: RefSeq, a predicted model, not a curated record
UUAAUAUGAAUUUAUUCAUCGUUUGUUUUCUUACAAAUUCAGUACAUAAUUUUGCAUAAUUUUUUCGUAUUUUUUGAAACAGUAUGUUUAGGUAUUUUUGAAGACUGAACAAUCUUACACCUUUCAAAGAUAUUUGGAUGUUCUGAGGUACAUAUUUCGGGAAGAAACGUAAAUCCUUCACCAGCUGUCCGGAUUGAAUUUGCUAGACCACAUGUUCAGAUAUUCUCUUGUGAAACGUAACACACCCGACCCUUUUUGUGUAAACUGGGUCAUUUGACGAUUAGACAACGCCCGACAUCACGUCUUAUCGCGGACGCGGCAAAAGUUGGUGGAGUUUACCUGGGAUGUCCGGCAUCGUCUUUUUCACCUGAUCCUGGGCCGGCAUAUUUUUCUUUAUUCUGGGCGCUAUCAAAUUCGCUUCAUGGGAAACACUUCGCUCGUUGACCGUCAAAAACAUAUUCGGCAGUUUUUCGUGAUAGAGUAUGAUAAGUUUAAGAAAGAAGUAAUGCUGAAAUUCCUCUGACGAUGGAAAAAGGUAGUGCAGAAAAUGGCACAUAUGUAUCUUCAAGUCACUCUUUUAUUGAUUGUGGUCGCAACAAUGAUUUCGACCGUGUCGUCCCACGAUAUGUUUGCUUCGGGCCUCAACCUGACGGUUGGGAGUAUCAAUUACAUGUCCCAUAUGGGAUUCAAAAUAGUCGGCCGAUUAAAAAUUUGAAAAAGCAACGCACAGCAAUACUGGAAAAAUGUUUUUAUUGAAUAAAUAAAGACGGAUAAUUAAAUGUAAUAGGAUAGAAGGGUUUUGUUUUAAAGACAAUACUGUACUUUCUGUUGAUAUAGUUGUUUUGGACUAUGUUCAAUUGUGUUGUACAAUAUAAAAAUUGACUUACAUUUUUA